This 240-nucleotide unclassified non-coding RNA is filed under the name soil metagenome. RNAcentral's name for it is "partial contains 5.8S ribosomal RNA, internal transcribed spacer 2, and large subunit ribosomal RNA". The record is from RNAcentral.
AACAUCGCGCACCUGCGGGAACCUGCGGAGGGAUCAUUACAGAGUUGCAAAACUCCCUAAACCAUUGUGAACGUUACCUAAACCGUUGCUUCGGCGGGCGGCCCGGGUCCUUCCCGGUGCCCAUCGGCCCUCGCGGGCGCCCGCCGGAGGUAAACCAAACUAUUGCAUUGUAUGGCCUCUCUGAGUCUUCUGUACUGAAUAAGUCAAAACUUUUAACAACGGAUCUCAGAUCGGAAGAGC